GCUGCAUCCUCUGAAGUCAACGUGCAUAUUACAGAAGUGUCUUGAAGAUGACGGAUGAUGGUGAAUGAUAGAAAAGAUGCAAAAGAUGAAUAUUUACAUUUUAUACAUCGUAAAAAGACUGUUCAAGUUUGACAGAAGAAAAAAUAGAUCUUACGGCUACUAGUUGGCAUUCAGAUCAAAUAAAUUUACAUUGAACCUA
Molecule: long non-coding RNA, 199 nt
Organism: Xenia sp. Carnegie-2017
Lineage: Eukaryota; Metazoa; Cnidaria; Anthozoa; Malacalcyonacea; Xeniidae
Exons: 2
Source: RefSeq, a predicted model, not a curated record